GACGAACGCUGGCGGCGUGCCUAAUACAUGCAAGUCGAACGCAGUGGGGACGGGUGAGUAACACGUGGGUAACCUCCCAUCAGAGGGGAUAACACUUGGAAACAGGUGCUAAACCGAUACUGGUGGAGGGACCCGCGGGGCAUUAGCUAGUUGGUGGGGUAACGGCCCACCAAGGCCACGAGGCAUAGCCGGCCGGAGAGGGUGACCGGCCACACUGGGACUGAGACACGGCCCAGACUCCUACGGGAGGCAGCAGUAGGGAAUCUUCGGCAAUGGGCGAAAGUCUGACCCAGCAAUGCCGCGUGAGUGAAGAAGGUUUUCGGAUCGUAAAACUCUGUUGUUAGGGAGGCGGUAUCUAACCAGAAAGCCACGGCUAACUACGUGCCAGCCGCCGCGGUAAUAC
This 403-nucleotide ribosomal RNA is filed under the name uncultured bacterium. RNAcentral's name for it is "partial 16S ribosomal RNA". It matches the Rfam family "Bacterial small subunit ribosomal RNA", at positions 28 to 526 of the family's 1533-position model. The record is from RNAcentral.